GUCCACGCCCUAAACGAUGUCAACUGGUUGUUGGGAGGGUUUCUUCUCAGUAACGAAGCUAACGCGUGAAGUUUACCGCCUGGGGAGUACGGCCGCAAUGUUGAAACUCAAAGGAAUUGACGGGGACCCGCACAAGCGGUGGAUGAUGUGGUUUAAUUCGAUGCAACGCGAAAAACCUUACCUACCCUUGACAUGUCAGAGACCCUGCAGAGAUGCGGGGGUGCUCGAAAGAUAAUCUUAACACAGGUGCUGCAUGGCCGUCGU
RNAcentral lists this ribosomal RNA (264 nucleotides) under uncultured bacterium. RNAcentral's name for it is "partial 16S ribosomal RNA". It matches the Rfam family "Bacterial small subunit ribosomal RNA", at positions 793 to 1055 of the family's 1533-position model. The record is from RNAcentral.